GGCACUGGUUUUAUUUAUUACACUGAAACACUUUGAAUUGGUUGAAGUAGUUUGUUCUACUAGACCAAAACAAAUUAAAGGAAAAGUUCUUCAAGAAGAUUAAUACAAUUUUUAUACGUGUAUGUAUUGUAAAUAUAAAACCAGUGCCAGUCAGUUAGCUUACUUAGCACAACGACUGGAAACAGGGACUCCACAGGGAACCUUUUAAAUUCAACUCAUUCGUCCAACUCAUUUAGCUUAUGUUUUCAGUCUUUCUUUCUUGACCAGGUACUUUUAUUUAGGAUGACAUGAAAUAGAAAAUGCUCAAUUCAAUUUUACUUGUAUAGCGCUAAAUCACAACAACGGUUAUGUCAUUGCGCUCUUCAUAAAAGAGCAGGUCUAGACCGUAGUCUGUGAUGAUAUUUACAGAAACCCAACAGUUCACCAAGAGCAAGCACUAGGCAACAGAGGCAAGGAAACACUUCCUUUAAGAGGCAGAGACCUCGAGCAGAACCAUGGCUUGGGGGGGGGGGGUGCAGGCGCAUCUGCCUCGACCGGUUGGGGGUUAGAGAAAGAGACAGAGAGAGAGACAUGGAGAAUUGUAGCAGAGGGUGUCGAGCAGGAACAUGGAGGCAGCAGGUGACUCCAACCACAGAUCCAGAGCCAGAAACACCUGCAGGAAGCGAUAGGAGGAGAGAGGAGAGGGACGAGAGAGCACAAGACUACGGGGGCGAGAGAGCACAAGACUCCGGGUAAGGGAAUAAGUUCAGGGAACAUUAAAGAAUUAGUGCUGAAUUGAUGCCAUCCAUUGGCCAAACAGAAAUGUGACUCGGUGUAUUGUUGCACAUGAACUCAAUAUCUGUCCCUGGUUGGCUAGUUCUGACACGCAGUUUUAGUUAGGAUACAUUUGGAUAUACGAUAAAGGGACUGUAUUUACAUAGCGCUUCUCUAAUCUACGACUAUUCAAAGCGCUUUCACAUAGCACAGGAACCAUUCACACACUGUGGCCGCGGCUGCUGUACAAGGUGAUAAACACACACACACACAUUUACACUCCGGUGGCAGCUCGGGGUUCAGUGUCUUGCCCAAGGACACUUGGACAUGGGACUGCAGGGCCAGGUAUCGAACCUCCAACCUUCAGAUUGGCUGGCAACCAGUGAUCCACAGCCGCCCUGUAUAUCUGUACGGAUCUUAAUGUAGAGUGGUGGUAUGUUUGGUAUGUACUAGGGGGUGGGGCAUCACCAGACACCUCCCGAUACAAUAUCCUCACGAUACUUGCGCCGCGAUACGAUAUUAUUGCGAUUUUAAACGUAUUGCGAUAUUCUGCGAUAUAAUGCAAUUUAUAAACUUUUUUCUUACUUCAAAUUUUUCCCAGGUUCAAAUGACGUCCCCAGAAGGAAACGUUGUCAACAUCUGUUUUUUUCUAAAAUGAUAAAUUUCUCUGUUUGUUUACAUCACUGCGAAAUGGGAUUGUCAAGCAGACAAACUGACCACCACCACACAUAUAAUAUAUAAUAACAGAUACUUGGCACUUGUGUAUCGAUACAGUAUUGCCACUGAAAAUAUAAGUUACUAAUAAUACUUAAGAGGAACAAAUAUGAGCAUUCAUGAGAUUAGAGACAAUUUAAUAUUAGAUUAGAUUUACUAGACCCUGGAACCAGCCGGCAUUACGCAUUUAAUAAUGUUUUGAAGUUAUUGAAAGUGAACUUUAAACGUGUUUUGAGACUUUGAUGCAUUAAAAAAGUGUUUAGAUUAUUUUUGGACACUGCAAGUCAGUUGACUUGCUGCCUGGCCUUUGGAUUUUUGCCCUUUCACUUUCACUGUGGUGGUGUGUGUUUAUCUGCUGUGCACAUUUAAUGUUGAGUCAAG
Long non-coding RNA from Etheostoma spectabile (orangethroat darter), 1848 nucleotides. RefSeq lists it as uncharacterized. The transcript is spliced from 3 exons. NCBI's taxonomy places the organism in Eukaryota, Metazoa, Chordata, Actinopteri, Perciformes, Percidae. The record is from RefSeq and is a predicted model, not a curated record.